Molecule: long non-coding RNA, 1565 nt
Organism: Gossypium raimondii (Peruvian cotton)
Lineage: Eukaryota; Viridiplantae; Streptophyta; Magnoliopsida; Malvales; Malvaceae
Exons: 3
Source: RefSeq, a predicted model, not a curated record
UCAUUAUUUCAAUUUCCAUCGUCUGGGUAGCUUCUCUUUGGAAAAUUUUCUUCUCCCAUUCAAAACCCACAUUUUUAAAUGAAAGUAACUCCAUUUUUUUUUCAGAUUUCUUUUACCCAUUGAUUUUGUUUCAAUUAAUAUUCAAAACCAGGUACACCUUUGCACAAAAAAAAUGUCUUGCUGGUUGUUGCGCACCUUGAUGAUGAGUCCAUGUUCUUUUCACCUACAAUAAACUACUUGACUUCAAAAAUUACCUACCCUUGGUUCUUGGACUUGGCAAAGUAAAUCCUAGGUUUGUGAGCUUAUUACCUUUCUUUCAUUGCUUCUGCCUUGGAUUCUGAAUAGUUGGAUGCAGUUAACAUUGAUACACAUGUAAGCAAAUAUACUUAUGUGGCAUUUGAUUUUCUUGAUUGCUUUACUGGCUGAAACAAAUCUGUUUGUAUACACAAUAGAUGAGUACUUCGGCGGUUGAAGUUAGUGGUGAAAAAGUGAAAGCAAUGUGGGAUAAGAUAUUGACAGAAAUAUUUUGUGAUAUUUGUAUUGAAGAGAUAUUGAAAUGCAAUAGGCCUGGUCCUCAUUUCACAAAAGAUGGAUGGUUGAAAAUAAUGACCAACUUAGAGAAAGAAACGGGCAAGGCUUUUUCACAAAGACAACUUAAAAAUAAGUGGGAUGCCCUAAAAAAAGAAUGGAAAGCUUGGAAGAAACUUAAAGGCGAAGAUACUGGUCUAGGGUGGAAUCCUAUAAAAAGAACCGUUGAUGCAUUGGAUGAUUAGUGGGAGAGUAGGCUACAGGUUGUGCCUGAAGCUCAAAAAUUUUGAACAUCGGGCAUUGAUCCUGAAUUCGAAGGGAAGUUGGACCAAAUGUUCAUGGGGAUAGUUUGCAACAGGUGAUAAAGCAUGGGCACCUUCUUCUGGUACAUUCUGUAGUGAUUUUUUUUAAGGAUGUUAACAACAAAAUACCUGAAGAGAAUGAAGAAGAAAAUAUGAGAAAUGAUGUUCACAUUUUAAAUGAUGUUCACAUUUCAAAUGAUGUUCAAAUUGAUGGAAACGGUCAAAAAAGAACAAACACUAAGAUAUCAAGUUUACAUUUUAAAACUGGAAGAAAGAAAUCCUCAAAGCAAUUUGGAGGGGCUGCAAGAUUGUCCAGUCAAAUAGAAAAAUUAUGCAAUGCGGCUGACAAUAUGAGUCAAGCCACAUCUAGUUUGACUCCUAUUAUGGAUCCAUAUGAUAUUCCAUAAGCAAUCAAAGUGCUUGACAGCAUGUCGGAAGAAGUUCCAGAAGCUAGUCCGCUAUACUUUUUAACACUUAAAUUAUUGCUCAAUAAGGACAAGAGAAUUAUGUUUUUAUCAAUUAAUCCCAAGAUUAGAGCUUUAUGGCUUAAGACAGAAAUGGAGGAUAGUUGAAAAUUUUCUGAUCUUUUAGGGUUUAGAGAUAUCUAUUAUGUAACUAAACAAAAAUGCUAAACUAGUUUUUUAUCAAUAGUUAUUUAUGUUUGGUUUUUGGAUAUUGAAUUUAUGUUCUACUUAUUUAUGUGUAAUCUAGUUUUAUCAAUGGUUGUUUAUGUUU